AGAGUUUGAUCCUGGCUCAGGAUGAACGCUGGCGGCGUGCUUAACACAUGCAAGUCGAACGAAGCAGUCUUGAUGAAGCCUUCGGGCGGAAUUAGGAUUGACUGAGUGGCGGACGGGUGAGUAACGCGUGGGUAAUCUGCCUCACACAGGGGGAUAACAGUUAGAAAUGACUGCUAAUACCGCAUAAGCGCACGAGAGGGCAUCCUCAAGUGUGAAAAGCCGAGACGGUGUGAGAUGAGCCCGCGUCUGAUUAGGUAGUUGGUGAGGUAACGGCCCACCAAGCCGACGAUCAGUAGCCGACCUGAGAGGGUGAUCGGCCACAUUGGGACUGAGAUACGGCCCAGACUCCUACGGGAGGCAGCAGUGGGGAAUAUUGCACAAUGGGGGAAACCCUGAUGCAGCGACGCCGCGUGAGCGAAGAAGUAUUUCGGUAUGUAAAGCUCUAUCAGCAGGGAAGAAAUUGACGGUACCUGACUAAGAAGCACCGG
Molecule: ribosomal RNA, 488 nt
Filed under: uncultured bacterium
Lineage: Bacteria
Description: bacterial SSU rRNA
Rfam family: Bacterial small subunit ribosomal RNA
Source: RNAcentral